This 27-nucleotide non-coding RNA is filed under the name Rattus norvegicus (Norway rat). The record is from RNAcentral. Lineage: Eukaryota; Metazoa; Chordata; Mammalia; Rodentia; Muridae.
UGAUUUCCACAGCAAAUUCCUAUAGUA